CCUANGGGUGGCAGCAGGCGCGAAAACUCCACACUGUACGUAAGUACGAUGGGGUUACCUCGAGUGUAGUCUGUAAAAGAUUGCUUUUCCAUAGAGUAAUAUCCUGUGGGAAUAAGAGGGGGGCAAGACUGGUGUCAGCCGCCGCGGUAACACCAGCCCCUCGAGUGGUAGGGACUUUUAUUUGGCCUAAAGCGUUCGUAGCCGUCUGUAACCGUUGCCCGUUAAAUCCAGCGUCUCAAGCGUUGGACUGCGGGCGAUACCUUACAGAUUGAGGGUGGGAUAGGUAAGCGGUAUUUCUGGGGUAGGGGCGAAAUCCUUUGAUCCCAGGAGGACCACCAGUGGCGAAGGCUGCUUACUAGAACACGCCUGACGGUCAGGAACGAAAGCUGGGGUAGCGAACCGGAUUAGAUACCCGANUANUC
RNAcentral lists this ribosomal RNA (422 nucleotides) under uncultured bacterium. RNAcentral describes it as "bacterial SSU rRNA". It matches the Rfam family "Archaeal small subunit ribosomal RNA", at positions 322 to 746 of the family's 1478-position model. The record is from RNAcentral.